AAUAAAUUUCAGAGUUUAAUUUAUACAUCUCUAUUUUUUUAUUCAGUGAUACAGUACAUGCUGAUAUUUGAUUGUUAACCUUGCAUCAUCUUAGAUAAAUUAAAAAAAUAAAAUAAUAAAAUAAAAAACUAAGAAACAUAAGAAAUCAAUUUAAUAAUAAGUAUUAUAGCCAAGUGUUUGUGAUUCUAAGAAAGUUAUAAAAUGCGAUUGUUGAUAAAAUCAAUAAAUUCACAAUUAUUACCGGUAUUUCGUCAGCGUAUGACAGUAAAUAGAUAUUCAAAUUUAUCAAUUAUAAGAAGACCUAUAUCUACUGUUAAAAAAAUAAAUUGGCUGGAAGUUAGCAAUAAAACAGAUGGGAAUGUCAUCAGUAGUUACAAGAGAAUUGCAUGUUCCACGACUUUACGUCAAUUUUCGACUAAACAGCCAGAUAAUGAGGAUCCACCACUGGAAGUCGAAGCUGAGCCAGCAUCAGAAGGGUAUCCAGCUACGUUACCAGCGACAGUUGUCGUUCCAGAAGUGUGGCCUCACGUACCAGUAAUAGCAAUAAGUCGUCACCCAGUGUUUCCUCGUUUUAUCAAACUUAUAGAGCUAACAAACCCGAUUUUAAUCGACUUGAUACGCCGGAAAGUUAAACUGAAUCAACCUUACGUCGGAAUAUUUUUAAAAAAGAACGAAGAAAACGAAGCAGAGAUUGUAAAAAGCGUUGACGAUGUCUAUCCCAUUGGAACAUUCGCUCAGAUCCACGAAAUCCAAGACCUGGGAGAUAAGUUACGUCUGGUCAUCAUGUCUCACCGCAGGAUAAAAAUAGUAAGCCAGAUGAUCGAAGACAUUAGUGAGAAACCACCCCAAGAGAUGAAAUUGACGUUUCCACUAUUUAAUACUUCAAUUAACGUCUCCGUAGACGAGCCGGUAGCUGAACCUAAAAAAUCGCGUCGUUAUGUGAGGAGCAAAAGAAACGAACUCAAAGUUGAUCCCGAGGAAAAGUUAACUCUUGAAGAAGUUAAACCUGAAAUUGUAGAUGUAGCUGGUGAAACUGAUACCAAAGCUCCAGUUACUCCUGCCGCUGCUCCAACUGACGCUCAAACACCUCCAGUUCAAGCGAUUCCGAUGGACGGGUCUCCGCAACCACUUCUCAUGGCUGAAGUUAUCAAUGUUACUCACGAGAAGUUCCGGCACACUGAAGAAAUUAAAGCUCUGACGCAAGAAAUAAUAAAAACUAUUCGUGAUAUAAUCAGCAUGAAUCCAAUUUAUCGGGAGUCAUUGAAUCAAAUGCUGCAUCAAGGAACACGAGUUGUUGAUAAUCCUGUAUAUUUAAGUGAUUUAGGAGCGGCGUUAACUGGCGCUGACGCUAAAGAACUUCAGGAAGUUCUCGAGGAAUUAGAUAUUUCCAAGCGACUGCGUCUCUCUUUGGCUUUAUUGAAAAAAGAGUACGAACUGAGCAAGCUCCAGCAGAAAAUAGGCCGUGAAGUUGAAGAAAAAGUUAAACAGCAGCACCGUAAAUACAUCCUGCACGAGCAAUUGAAGGUAAUAAAAAAGGAGCUGGGUCUUGAGAAAGAAGACAAAGACGCCAUUGAAGAAAAAUACAGAGAAAGAAUCCGUGAAAAAGUCGUCGCUAAACCGGUGAUGGACGUAAUCGAAGAAGAAUUAACAAAGUUAAGUUUCCUCGAGAAUCACAGUAGUGAAUUCAAUGUCACGCGUAAUUAUUUAGACUGGUUGACCUCUUUGCCCUGGGGAGUUACCAGUCCGGAGAAUUUGAAAAUUCAGGAGGCUUCAGAUAUCCUCGAGCAAGAUCAUUACGGAAUGGAAGACAUUAAGAAACGUAUUCUGGAGUUUAUAGCCGUCAGUCAGCUCAAGGGGACUACCCAGGGUAAAAUUAUGUGCUUCCAUGGUCCUCCAGGUGUCGGAAAGACCUCGAUUGCGCGAUCAAUAGCUCGCGCGUUGAAUCGCGAGUACUUCAGAUUCAGCGUCGGGGGAAUGACUGACGUGGCUGAGAUCAAAGGACACAGGCGUACUUAUGUCGGCGCAAUGCCUGGUAAAAUAAUCCAGUGUCUAAAAAAAACCAAAACUGAGAAUCCUCUGGUGUUGAUCGAUGAGGUUGACAAAAUCGGCAAAGGCUAUCAAGGAGAUCCUGCUUCAGCUUUGCUGGAGAUGUUGGAUCCAGAGCAAAACGCGAAUUUCCUCGACCACUACCUAGACGUACCAGUUGAUCUAUCAAAGGUUUUAUUUAUCUGCACCGCGAAUGUCGUAGACACUAUUCCUGAGCCGCUGAGAGACCGUAUGGAGAUGAUUGACAUGUCUGGUUAUGUUGCGGAGGAAAAAUUAGCAAUCGCCAAACAAUACUUGAUUCCUCAAGCCAUGAAAGACUCGGGACUCACUACUGAGCAAAUAACCUUCGAUGAAUCAGCUCUUUCUAAGCUCAUAAGAGCCUACUGCCGUGAAUCAGGUGUUAGAAAUCUUCAGAAGCAUAUCGAGAAAGUGUCGAGGAAGGCCGCGUUUAAGGUCGUCAAACAGGAAGCUGAGAAAAUAGAAGUUACUAAGGACAAUUUGACUGAUUUCGUAGGCAAACCCAUCUUUACACACGACAGAAUGUAUGACAUAACGCCUCCAGGUGUGGUGAUGGGUCUAGCUUGGACCGCGAUGGGUGGCUCUUCCCUGUUCAUUGAAACCUCUAUCAGCAAACCCUUCACUGCUAAAAAAUACGAGGGUACUUUGGAACUCACGGGACAUCUUGGUGACGUUAUGAAGGAAUCCAUGAAGAUAGCGAUGACAGUAGCUCGGAAUUUUUUGAAGAAAAUAGACCCUGACAAUACCAUUUUGUAUGAUGCUCAUCUGCAUCUUCACGUACCUGAGGGAGCGACUCCCAAGGAUGGACCCAGCGCUGGUGUAACCAUCGCCUCGGCUUUGAUUUCUCUUGCCAGAGGACAACCUAUCAGACAAGACGUCGCCAUGACUGGAGAGCUCAGUUUGAUGGGCAAGGUUCUGCCUGUUGGUGGAAUCAAGGAGAAGACUAUCGCGGCGAAGAGAGCCGGAGUUAAGUGUAUAAUUCUACCGGAAGAAAAUAGAAAAGACUUUGAUGAUCUUGCUAAGUAUAUCACUGACGGUCUGGAGGUACAUUUUGCCAGCACUUAUCAAGACGUAUACAAAGUUUGCUUUGAUGAUAGUCAGCAGUCCAGCCCUGUUAAAGACUCUACGGGGUUUGACUUUCAUACCAAGCCCCAAGCUGCCUCUAUUCAUGCGAAAAACGCGUAGUGACUGUUUUUUUAAAUAAAGACUUUGACAAUUAAGUUUAAAGAAUAACUAUUAACAGUUGAUGCAAUUCAUCUGACGUUAAGUACAUCACAAAUUAUUUAGUUUGUAUACAUUCCUAAAAGAAAAAUUAUCUUCUGGUUAUACAACGAUUUAAAGAAGACCGACUAGACAGUGAAUUGCGCAUAAAAAUUAUUUUGUAAAUAUGUUUAAAAGAAUAAAUAAUAAUAAUUAUUAA
RNAcentral lists this unclassified non-coding RNA (3484 nucleotides) under Cotesia glomerata. Its description in RNAcentral is "lon protease homolog, mitochondrial, transcript variant X1". Lineage: Eukaryota; Metazoa; Arthropoda; Insecta; Hymenoptera; Braconidae. The record is from RNAcentral.